GGGUUGUGAGGUUAAGCGACUAAGCGUACACGGUGGAUGCCCUGGCAGUCAGAGGCGAUGAAGGACGUGCUAAUCUGCGAUAAGCGUCGGUAAGGUGAUAUGAACCGUUAUAACCGGCGAUUUCCGAAUGGGGAAACCCAGUGUGAUUCGUCACACUAUCAUUAACUGAAUCCAUAGGUUAAUGAGGCGAACCGGGGGAACUGAAACAUCUAAGUACCCCGAGGAAAAGAAAUCAACCGAGAUUCCCCCAGUAGCGGCGAGCGAACGGGGAGGAGCCCAGAGCCUGAAUCAGUGUGUGUGUUAGUGGAAGCGUCUGGAAAGGCGCGCGAUACAGGGUGACAGCCCCGUACACAAAAAUGCACAUGCUGUGAGCUCGAUGAGUAGGGCGGGACACGUGGUAUCCUGUCUGAAUAUGGGGGGACCAUCCUCCAAGGCUAAAUACUCCUGACUGACCGAUAGUGAACCAGUACCGUGAGGGAAAGGCGAAAAGAACCCCGGCGAGGGGAGUGAAAAAGAACCUGAAACCGUGUACGUACAAGCAGUGGGAGCACGCUUAGGCGUGUGACUGCGUACCUUUUGUAUAAUGGGUCAGCGACUUAUAUUCUGUAGCAAGGUUAACCGAAUAGGGGAGCCGAAGGGAAACCGAGUCUUAACUGGGCGUUAAGUUGCAGGGUAUAGACCCGAAACCCGGUGAUCUAGCCAUGGGCAGGUUGAAGGUUGGGUAACACUAACUGGAGGACCGAACCGACUAAUGUUGAAAAAUUAGCGGAUGACUUGUGGCUGGGGGUGAAAGGCCAAUCAAACCGGGAGAUAGCUGGUUCUCCCCGAAAGCUAUUUAGGUAGCGCCUCGUGAAUUCAUCUCCGGGGGUAGAGCACUGUUUCGGCAAGGGGGUCAUCCCGACUUACCAACCCGAUGCAAACUGCGAAUACCGGAGAAUGUUAUCACGGGAGACACACGGCGGGUGCUAACGUCCGUCGUGAAGAGGGAAACAACCCAGACCGCCAGCUAAGGUCCCAAAGUCAUGGUUAAGUGGGAAACGAUGUGGGAAGGCCCAGACAGCCAGGAUGUUGGCUUAGAAGCAGCCAUCAUUUAAAGAAAGCGUAAUAGCUCACUGGUCGAGUCGGCCUGCGCGGAAGAUGUAACGGGGCUAAACCAUGCACCGAAGCUGCGGCAGCGACACUGUGUGUUGUUGGGUAGGGGAGCGUUCUGUAAGCCUGCGAAGGUGUGCUGUGAGGCAUGCUGGAGGUAUCAGAAGUGCGAAUGCUGACAUAAGUAACGAUAAAGCGGGUGAAAAGCCCGCUCGCCGGAAGACCAAGGGUUCCUGUCCAACGUUAAUCGGGGCAGGGUGAGUCGACCCCUAAGGCGAGGCCGAAAGGCGUAGUCGAUGGGAAACAGGUUAAUAUUCCUGUACUUGGUGUUACUGCGAAGGGGGGACGGAGAAGGCUAUGUUGGCCGGGCGACGGUUGUCCCGGUUUAAGCGUGUAGGCUGGUUUUCCAGGCAAAUCCGGAAAAUCAAGGCUGAGGCGUGAUGACGAGGCACUACGGUGCUGAAGCAACAAAUGCCCUGCUUCCAGGAAAAGCCUCUAAGCAUCAGGUAACAUCAAAUCGUACCCCAAACCGACACAGGUGGUCAGGUAGAGAAUACCAAGGCGCUUGAGAGAACUCGGGUGAAGGAACUAGGCAAAAUGGUGCCGUAACUUCGGGAGAAGGCACGCUGAUACGUAGGUGAAGUCCCUCGCGGAUGGAGCUGAAAUCAGUCGAAGAUACCAGCUGGCUGCAACUGUUUAUUAAAAACACAGCACUGUGCAAACACGAAAGUGGACGUAUACGGUGUGACGCCUGCCCGGUGCCGGAAGGUUAAUUGAUGGGGUCAGCGCAAGCGAAGCUCUUGAUCGAAGCCCCGGUAAACGGCGGCCGUAACUAUAACGGUCCUAAGGUAGCGAAAUUCCUUGUCGGGUAAGUUCCGACCUGCACGAAUGGCGUAAUGAUGGCCAGGCUGUCUCCACCCGAGACUCAGUGAAAUUGAACUCGCUGUGAAGAUGCAGUGUACCCGCGGCAAGACGGAAAGACCCCGUGAACCUUUACUAUAGCUUGACACUGAACAUUGAGCCUUGAUGUGUAGGAUAGGUGGGAGGCUUUGAAGUGUGGACGCCAGUCUGCAUGGAGCCGACCUUGAAAUACCACCCUUUAAUGUUUGAUGUUCUAACGUUGACCCGUGAUCCGGGUUGCGGACAGUGUCUGGUGGGUAGUUUGACUGGGGCGGUCUCCUCCUAAAGAGUAACGGAGGAGCACGAAGGUUGGCUAAUCCUGGUCGGACAUCAGGAGGUUAGUGCAAUGGCAUAAGCCAGCUUGACUGCGAGCGUGACGGCGCGAGCAGGUGCGAAAGCAGGUCAUAGUGAUCCGGUGGUUCUGAAUGGAAGGGCCAUCGCUCAACGGAUAAAAGGUACUCCGGGGAUAACAGGCUGAUACCGCCCAAGAGUUCAUAUCGACGGCGGUGUUUGGCACCUCGAUGUCGGCUCAUCACAUCCUGGGGCUGAAGUAGGUCCCAAGGGUAUGGCUGUUCGCCAUUUAAAGUGGUACGCGAGCUGGGUUUAGAACGUCGUGAGACAGUUCGGUCCCUAUCUGCCGUGGGCGCUGGAGAAUUGAGGGGGGCUGCUCCUAGUACGAGAGGACCGGAGUGGACGCAUCACUGGUGUUCGGGUUGUCAUGCCAAUGGCACUGCCCGGUAGCUAAAUGCGGAAGAGAUAAGUGCUGAAAGCAUCUAAGCACGAAACUUGCCCCGAGAUGAGUUCUCCCUGACUCCUUGAGAGUCCUGAAGGAACGUUGAAGACGACGACGUUGAUAGGCCGGGUGUGUAAGCGCAGCGAUGCGUUGAGCUAACCGGUACUAAUGAACCGUGAGGCUUAACCUUACAACGCCGAAGGUGUUU
RNAcentral lists this ribosomal RNA (2930 nucleotides) under Escherichia coli. RNAcentral's name for it is "bacterial LSU rRNA". It matches the Rfam family "Bacterial large subunit ribosomal RNA". Lineage: Bacteria; Pseudomonadati; Pseudomonadota; Gammaproteobacteria; Enterobacterales; Enterobacteriaceae. The record is from RNAcentral.